This 903-nucleotide long non-coding RNA is filed under the name Ananas comosus (pineapple). RNAcentral's name for it is "long non-coding RNA (ACOM_LNC037215)". The record is from RNAcentral. Lineage: Eukaryota; Viridiplantae; Streptophyta; Magnoliopsida; Poales; Bromeliaceae.
AGGGACACUAAAGUAAGCAUGCAAGUGCUUGCUAGCGAACAAGUACACUGAGCGUGACCAUUUAGUUAAAUAGUCACAUGAUUGCAUAUUCGCAAGUGACUAGUUCUUUGCUACAAUGGUGUGAAGUACUACUCGAACCUGAGGCAUCAUGGUUGCUUCACAUAUAGAUUGCUACCGUUUGACUGUACUAAUACUUAGACUCUAAUCAUUGAUCUACAUCUGGUACUGAUUGGUUGUACUAGUUUAUAUGGAAAGGCAUGUGAGUGCGCAAUAAGAUGUUCAACACUCCCAAUAUUGAGAGAGAACGUCCUAUGUAAACUAUCAGACUCGACUCGAAAAACCUCUAGCCAGGGUACGUAAUGUGUGGAAGAGUUUCCAGCUAUAUUAUCAUAUUGAGUCAGUUUUAGAUAUUCUAGUCAUAUGAUUGAAUAAUAAGAUUUGGCGAGUAAUCAUAACUCUGGUUCGAUCGGGGCGUUGUGCGUUGGAAGGAAUUAAUCACACGGUAAUUAUUAGCAGAAAGGUUCGUUAUUCAUCAUCAUUCUGGAUUGCCGUAAUAUACUGUUAGGUGUCACUCACGAACAGUAAGAGAAGUAAAAAUAAUUUAAAAUAAAUUAUUUUAUAGAUUAAAAGUGUUCUAAUUCAAUAUUGAAAAGUUUGAUAUUGAACUGCAAAUGAGUCUAAUACACUAAACAGUUUAAUAAAAAUAAUAAAAAAAUUAUAUUUGAAUUUGAAUAUUACGAAAGAUUUAAUCUCUAAUUAUAUUAAAGAAUAAUUAAAUAUUCAUAGCUUAUUAUGAGAUAAUAUUCUAAUUAGAUUAGAUUUAAAUAUGAAUAUUUAAUUAUAAUUUAAUGGAUAAGAUUUGAUUAAAUUAAAUUUAUCAAAUAGAGAGAUAUGGAUAAAAUA